CUCGAGAAAGGGACCGGUGCGCGCCUCCACCUCCCCAAGGGACAAACCGCGGCACCACGCUGCGUGCGCGGGAUUGCGACUAGGAAGUGCUGGUUUUACGGAGACUUUCGGUCCCAGCAAAAACUGAUCACCUGGAGUCUUCUACGGUCUCUCUUUAUAAAUCUCUCCGAACCUCAAGCAACUCCCCCCCACCCCCUUCGUCUGGGGUCUGCGCCCAGCGGGGCCAAAGCCUUGAGUUCCUUGGCAGAGAGUGUGGAACAGCCGUGAGCCCUUCAAGACAUGCCUAUGAGCCCGGUGAUUUUUUUUUUCAAGGGGGCUUUGAUCAGCUGUACCUCCACGUUGCCCCGGAAAGGUGCGCAGGGCACCCGGAGAGGCCUCUGGUCAGCAGUGGGCCUGGGCCAAGCCCCAACAGUUUACCCCUCAGGCUCAGGUUGGCUGGGGUUAAAGGGCAAAGUCAGGGUCGAGGGCACCAGCUUUUCUCGGCGGUAACAGCUGCCACCCAAAUUAUGCCCCCUCAGGAAGCGAAUGAAUUGUUCCUUUCUCCCAGCUCCCUGCUGCCCGCCC
Molecule: long non-coding RNA, 564 nt
Organism: Pan paniscus (pygmy chimpanzee)
Lineage: Eukaryota; Metazoa; Chordata; Mammalia; Primates; Hominidae
Source: Ensembl